This 273-nucleotide long non-coding RNA is filed under the name Phoenix dactylifera (date palm). RNAcentral describes it as "long non-coding RNA (PDAC_LNC001587)". The record is from RNAcentral. Lineage: Eukaryota; Viridiplantae; Streptophyta; Magnoliopsida; Arecales; Arecaceae.
GGGUAUUGAGGUUGGUUGGUGAGCCGAGUGUAAAACCAACGUGUGUAAGGGUUCGAUUGUGAUCCCGGAAAAACAAUCGGGGCGGUUCUAGUCGGUGAGCCAGGGAAAACCGACCGAGUUCGUUGUGAGCUCGUAAAACAACAAGUUUGGUUGUGAGCUUGGAAAACAACCGGCUGUAAUCCAAGGGGUUAUAGUGAAUUCCCAAGUGAGACUUGGGGAGUGGACGUAGGAGCAAGGGUUAGCUCCGAACCACUAUAAAACUUGGUGUUUGUG